RNAcentral lists this transfer RNA (71 nucleotides) under Littorina brevicula. Its description in RNAcentral is "tRNA-Thr". It matches the Rfam family "tRNA". Rfam says of the family: Transfer RNA (tRNA) molecules are approximately 80 nucleotides in length. Their secondary structure includes four short double-helical elements and three loops (D, anti-codon, and T loops). Further hydrogen bonds mediate the characteristic L-shaped molecular structure. tRNAs have two regions of fundamental functional importance: the anti-codon, which is responsible for specific mRNA codon recognition, and the 3' end, to which the tRNAs corresponding amino acid is attached (by aminoacyl-tRNA synthetases). tRNAs cope with the degeneracy of the genetic code in two manners: having more than one tRNA (with a specific anti-codon) for a particular amino acid; and 'wobble' base-pairing, i.e. permitting non-standard base-pairing at the 3rd anti-codon position. Lineage: Eukaryota; Metazoa; Mollusca; Gastropoda; Littorinimorpha; Littorinidae. The record is from RNAcentral.
GCGGAGGUAGCUCAAAACUAGAGCAUCGGUCUUGUAAAUCGAAGGUUGGGUCAAGUAAGGCCCCUUCCGCU